Molecule: long non-coding RNA, 301 nt
Filed under: Sus scrofa (pig)
Lineage: Eukaryota; Metazoa; Chordata; Mammalia; Artiodactyla; Suidae
Description: lncRNA (ENSSSCG00045003839.1)
Source: RNAcentral
UGCACGUCUCCGCGGCGGGCUCCCGGCGGUGCACGUGCAUGAGGUGGACUGUGGGGACCCAGGGACCAGAAGCGCGGGCUGGCUCAGGAGCAAGUACAACUUCAUCGCAGAGGUGGUGGAGAAGGUGGCGCCGUCAGUGGUCCACUUACAGCUGUUCAGCAGGUCACCUCUCAGCAACAAGGAUGUCCCUGCGUCCAGUGCCUCUGGGUUCAUAGUGUCUGAGGAUGGGCUCAUUGUUACUAAUGCCCAUGUCCUCACCAACCGGCAUCGGAUCCAGGUAGAGCUCCAGAAUGGGGUCCAG